CUGUGCUGAUAGCUCAGGCUGCCCGCACCUCCCUCCUCUGUUCGCAUUCACCGCUCGCCUGUUGGGGAUAUGCCAUGCAAAAUAGAAGUGGAUGGACAUCCUUCCAUCCCGGCCAGUGCAGAGCUGGCCACAGGCUGGGCCAGGAGAAUGACCACAGGCCUCUGCUGGGGAGCGCCAGCAGGCCUCCAGGGACCAUUGAGCACAGAAGGUGGCGUCACUGGAAGAGCUUGUGCAGUCCUCCUGCCGGGAUGAUGGCCCAGUUCCGCCCUGCGUGGCUGCGUGGACCCUCUUCUGCAAAGCAAGUGACGGUGAGUCUCGCACAGUCAUCUCGCAGACAGCAGCAGCGGACAUGCAGUCAGGACAAAGGACCGCGUGAGGAAGCUUCCGUCAGCCUCAACCUGGUCUGCGCACCUGGAGAGUGGAUAUAUUUGCUUCCCUGGCAAACACGUGCGACCUUCACAAAGCUCUGAGGAGGAGACGGGACUGUGCGGACCCUGUGCAUGCAGGUUGAGUUCCUCGGACGAUAUCCUGUUAUCUGACAGCACGCUUUUGAUGAAAUAAAGUAUACGAUGCUUUGCA
This 579-nucleotide long non-coding RNA is filed under the name Ursus maritimus (polar bear). RNAcentral's name for it is "lncRNA (ENSUMAG00000009536.1)". Lineage: Eukaryota; Metazoa; Chordata; Mammalia; Carnivora; Ursidae. The record is from RNAcentral.